CCUACGGGGGACAGCAGUGAGGAAUAUUGGUCAAUGGGCGCGAGCCUGAACCAGCCAAGUAGCGUGAAGGAUGACUGCCCUACGGGGUGUAAACUUCUUUUAUAAAGGAAUAAAGUGAGGCACGUGUGCCUGUUUGUAUGUACUUUAGGAAUAAGGAUCGGCAAACUCCGUGCCAGCAGCCGCGGUAAUACGGAGGAUCCGAGCGUUAACCGGAUUUAUGGGGUUUAAAGGGAGCGUAGAUGGGUUGUUAAGUCAGUUGGGAAUGUUUGCGGCUCAACCGUAAAAUUGCAAUUGAUACUGGCAGUCUUGAGUACAGAUGAGGUAGGCGGAAUUCGUGGUGUAGCGGUGAAAUGCUUAGAUAUCACGAAGAACUCCGAUUGCGAAGGCAUCUUACUAAACUGCCACUGACAUUGAUGCUCGAAAGUGUGGGUAUCAAACAGGAUUAGAUACCCCGGUAGUC
Molecule: ribosomal RNA, 460 nt
Filed under: uncultured bacterium
Lineage: Bacteria
Description: partial 16S ribosomal RNA
Rfam family: Bacterial small subunit ribosomal RNA
Source: RNAcentral